This is a long non-coding RNA of Xenia sp. Carnegie-2017, 490 nucleotides long. RefSeq lists it as uncharacterized. Lineage: Eukaryota; Metazoa; Cnidaria; Anthozoa; Malacalcyonacea; Xeniidae. The record is from RefSeq and is a predicted model, not a curated record. The transcript is spliced from 2 exons.
ACUAGGGUGAAGAAUUGUGAAAACCCUCAAUAUUUAGCUCGGGAUGAAUGGAUUAGAGGGUAGUUAGCGAUCGUGUGAGUUGGUCUGUUAAGGACUCAAACUUUAAAUUAGGAAUAAGUUAUCGUAUAUGACGGUGGUGUGUAUGCAAAAUCAUUGGAAACCAUUCAAGAAUAGCCUUUGAAUCAGAGGGGGAACAUACUCUGUCAAUAUCAAAUUCAAAGUGAAAGAAAAGCAGCGCACCAUAUUAUCUAGGGUCUCACUAUGAUAAUCAAAAGGCAUUUCCAAAACGUCUAUCCUUCCUAUGUCUAUGGAUUCCUUAUUCUUACAAGUUUGAUGAAAGUACAUCCAAUGGCCAAUGCUGAUGAUUUGGGAAAAAUGUGCAACUCGACUCAAACAAACCAGACAAAUUGCACAAGGAAUGAGACUGGUUCUCGUAAUCAAAGUGAUGUAAGUUUAUAAACAAAAACUCUAUUGUAUGUAACUGCAAAAA